GCCUGGGUAGCUCAGUUGGNNGCGGAUUGAAAAUCCGCGUGUCGCUGGUUCGAUUCCGGCCCCAGGCACCA
RNAcentral lists this transfer RNA (71 nucleotides) under Hyphomonadaceae bacterium. Its description in RNAcentral is "tRNA-Phe". It matches the Rfam family "tRNA". From Rfam's summary of the family: Transfer RNA (tRNA) molecules are approximately 80 nucleotides in length. Their secondary structure includes four short double-helical elements and three loops (D, anti-codon, and T loops). Lineage: Bacteria; Pseudomonadati; Pseudomonadota; Alphaproteobacteria; Hyphomonadales; Hyphomonadaceae. The record is from RNAcentral.